Molecule: long non-coding RNA, 682 nt
Filed under: Nicotiana tabacum (common tobacco)
Lineage: Eukaryota; Viridiplantae; Streptophyta; Magnoliopsida; Solanales; Solanaceae
Description: long non-coding RNA (NTAB_LNC004313)
Source: RNAcentral
GAAAAUUACGAUGAGAUCCACUUUCACAUUCUCCUCCUAAAUCUCCUCCAUAAUCGACAAUCUCCUCCAGGCUCCUCCGGGCUCCUCCAUAAUCGACAAUCUCGUCCAUUCCGACGAUCGAAAAUCUCCUCCAGUCUCAACAACUCCUCCAUAAUUGGCCGCACCGGAGGCGGCAUGCUAAUCCUUUAGAGUUUUUUCAAAUCUGAAUCGGUAAAUAUAUUCUUAUUGCAAAAGUUUCUUAACUCGUGCGGGUGUUGAUUUUGGGCCUCAUUCAUGAAUUAAUCAAUUGGGUAUAUCAAUCUUGAAAGUGGGUCUCAUCAAGUUGAGUAUAAGCUCAUGGUUGAAGGCUUAAUGUUUAGCAGCUUUUUAAUUUGUUUUUGUUUAAAUUUCUGGAUUGGUUGCUCGUGGGUUGUUUUUUUGUGCUAUUGUUUAAAUUUUUGUGUUUCUGUAAGCUUCCUUAAUGUGGGAUUUUAGUUUUGUAUUUGUUUGAUGGUUAAUUUUGUGUGUGUGUUUUGAAGUACAGACACUCCUAAAGCUUAAAGUCCAGAUGCAAAGAAGGCAUUGAAGAAACAAAGAAAAAGAUAGAUACAUAAAAUCCAAUUCUGUGAGAAAAAAGGUGUGUUCUAUCUUUAUGUAAAAAGUGAAAAAAGUCACGAAUAAUUUCAAUAAUCUUGGGUUUGCA